GAGAACAGGGAACAGGGAGCGAUGGCGUCAGCACGCGGGUCAACCGGUUAAGCCGAGUAACAAACACGCUGAGUGGUGGACAGAGAUGUCAAGAGCGGGAGGGUGCGCGAAGGUUCUGGCGAGUGGCAACCCCAAAGGCCGCGGUGGCACCCCAAGCCCCCCGGUGCCGCGUGCCGUGCGUACCUGGCGCUGGGAGUCGUUGAAGUAGGCGGGCACGGUCACCACGGCCUUCUUGACCUCGCGGUCAGCGCCCAGGAAAGCCUGAGCGGUCUCCUUCAUCUUGAUAAGCACCAUCGAGGAGAUCUCCUCAGCCUUGAAGACCUUCUCCUCGUUCUUGUAGGAGACUGCGAGCGCAAAGAGAUAGGUUGUGAGCAACUAAUUUCGCACACAGCACGGACCGCUUUGCGAGCUGAACUUACCAACGAUCUCGGGCACAUCGUGCGCGCCGGCGCGAACCUGGAAAGGCCACAGCUUAAUGUCCGCCUGGACAAUGGGGUCCGAGAACUUGCGGCCAAUCAGGCGCUUGGCGUCGAACACCGUGUGGCGCGGGUUCAUAGCGACCUGUGGAAGGCAGGUCGGCGAAGGCGGGUAAGUGGCUGCGCGCGCUGAAGUCGGCCCGCCCAAUUCGCAACGUACCUGGUUCUUGGCGGCAUCACCAAUCAGACGCUCAGUGUCCGUGAAGGCCACGUACGAGGGAGUGGUGCGGUUGCCCUGAUCGUUGGCAAUAAUCUCCACGCGGUCAUUCUGCCAGACACCCACGCAGCUGCGAGCAUUGAAGCACGCCAAGGGUCAGCUGGUGUCCAAGAGACGUUGAAGGUGCAGAGGGAGCUCACCUGUACGUGGUGCCCAGGUCAAUACCGAUAGCGGGGGCCUCCUUGCCCAUGUUUACUGACUCUUAAGCGAGUUGAGUGGUUAUGUAUAGCGGCAGAAUAGUCGCGUAUGUAUAAGUG
This 950-nucleotide long non-coding RNA is filed under the name Chlamydomonas reinhardtii. Its description in RNAcentral is "long non-coding RNA (CREI_LNC000706)". The record is from RNAcentral. Lineage: Eukaryota; Viridiplantae; Chlorophyta; Chlorophyceae; Chlamydomonadales; Chlamydomonadaceae.